UUGUUAGUGGCAGACGGGUGAGUAAUGCAUAGGAAUCUACCUAGUAGUAUGGAAUAGCCAUUAGAUAUGAUGGGUAAUACUGUAUAAUCCCUGCGGGGGAAAGAUUUAUCGCUAUUAGAUGAGCCUAUGUUAGAUUAGCUAGUUGGUAAGGUAAUGGCUUACCAAGGCUAUGAUCUAUAGCUGGUCUGAGAGGACGAUCAGCCACACUGGAACUGAGAUACGGUCCAGACUCCAACGGGAGGCAGCAGUGGGGAAUAUUGGACAAUGGGCGAAUGCCUGAUCCAGCUAUGCCGCGUGAGUGAAGAAGCCCUUCGGGUUGUAAAGCUCUUUCAAUAG
Molecule: ribosomal RNA, 336 nt
Filed under: Ehrlichia sp.
Lineage: Bacteria; Pseudomonadati; Pseudomonadota; Alphaproteobacteria; Rickettsiales; Anaplasmataceae
Description: bacterial SSU rRNA
Rfam family: Bacterial small subunit ribosomal RNA
Source: RNAcentral